GCUCAACCGAGGAAGUGCUUCGAAAACUGGUAAACUUGAGUGCAGAAGAGGAAAGUGGAACUCCAUGUGUAGCGGUGGAAUGCGUAGAUAUAUGGAAGAACACCAGUGGCGAAGGCGGCUUUCUGGUCUGUAACUGACGCUGAGAUUCGAAAGCAUGGGUAGCAAACAGGAUUAGAUACCCUGGUAGUCCAUGCCGUAAACGAUGAGUGCUAAGUGUUGGAGGGUUUCCGCCCUUCAGUGCUACAGCUAACGCAUUAAGCACUUCGCCUGGGGAGUACGAUCGCAAGAUUGAAACUCAAAGGAAUUGACAGGGGCCCGCACAAGCGGUGGAGCAUGUGGUUUAAUUCGAAGCAACGCGAAGAACCUUACCAGGUCUUGACAUACCAUGAAAAGCUAAGAGAUUAGUCUUUCCCUUCGGGGACAUGGAUACAGGUGGUGCAUGGUUGUCGUCAGCUCGUGUCGUGAGAUGUCGGGUUAAGUCCCGCAACGAGCGCAACCCUUAUUAUCAGUUGCCAGCAUUCAGUUGGGCACUCUGGUGAGACUGCCGGUGACAAACCGGAGGAAGGUGGGGACGACGUCAAAUCAUCAUGCCCCUUAUGACCUGGGCUACACACGUGCUACAAUGGUCGGUACAACG
RNAcentral lists this ribosomal RNA (637 nucleotides) under uncultured bacterium. RNAcentral's name for it is "bacterial SSU rRNA". It matches the Rfam family "Bacterial small subunit ribosomal RNA", at positions 607 to 1244 of the family's 1533-position model. The record is from RNAcentral.